AAUAACGUGUGCUCUCAAAUACAUUGUGAUUUGAUGACUGUAUUUUAUUUAUAGGAAAGCAGAAAACAAAAACAUAAACGUUCUCUCUCUGUUUUCCCUUCCCAAGGCCGUGGUCCUUCCUGGUACCCCCAUAUGGGGUUGGUCUGUGUGCACAGGCGUUGGUUCCAUGUCAGGGUGCUGCUCUGUACCCAUCCGAUUCCCAUGUGCUCCUCUUUGCUGCUGAACACGUGUGUAUCUCAUGUCAUCUCGAGGACUGAGGACGAAUGCCUUAGCUCCAGCUCUCCAGCCCAGGCUCCCACACCCAGCCCGUCUCUGCGCAUCACCCCAAUCCUGACAUUGAACUCACAGCAACCCGGACUGAGAAGACUGCCAAAAAAUCUCCAGCUAUUCUUCUUCAUCCUCACUAACAAUUUGGUAAUGAAGUAUUGAUUUCCACUCUCCUGCUUAUGGACGAUAUUAGAUUUUCAUUGAUAAACUGCACUGGGGCUGUCUGGUCUCCACUGUCCCUUUUUGCUGUCGCUAAAACAAAGUGCCACUGAAGUAAGAUAAUGACUGAGAACAUUGAUGUACUUAUUUCGUCAAUUUGUAACACUUGACAGGAAAAAAAAAUUCUUCAUAGUUUAAUGUCCAACUGUUCUACACAAGAUGCAGUCACAUUGGAAGCUUUACUUUUCAUGGUAAUGUCCAUUUCCUAUUUAUAACCCCUUUGGGAUAGUUUGUCUAAAGGAAAUGUUUCUAUUCAGUGCAGCUAUUACUGUUGCACCUGGGUUGCCCAAUCCAGUCAUUGCACUAGGGAUCAAUACAUCACAGUAAGUACAAGAAUUAUUAAGUUAAAACAGAUUCUGAGCCAAAAAAACCUCUGAACAAUGUUAAUCUUCUGUGCAAGUUGUUCAAAUAGUUAUGCUUAACCAUGUUGCUGCCAAAGAUUUGUUUGAAAUGGAUUAUUUGCAGUUUGUUUUAUUCCUCAGAUAUAUAUAUAUAUUUAAAUCUCCGUUACGGUUUAUGACGAGACACGCGAUGGAGUGAUUUUUAGACAGAAGUACUAUUGUUAGAUUAUUGAACGUUAUAUGAAUAUAGGUAUAUCUAUAUAUAAAUAUCACUAUAUAAAUAUCUAUAUAUAGAUAUAAGAUAAUAAAGUACAGAUCCUUUCUCGGUUAGGUGCGUGUAAAUCCGGAUCUCAGUCGGAGCCAAUGGAGCCCCUUUGGGUUCACAGCCUGGUGUGAGGUCAGGGGCUGCUGUCCACAAUGUUGGCCCGGCCCAGGGGAAGGGCUGAGGAUGGCAACUUCAAAUCAGUGCUCUUAACUUUUUUCAUUAAAACUUUGAGCUCCUGAUUUUAAUUUGUGGAAUAUUCACGUUAAUAAUGAGAUCUAAUUAAGACAUCCAUUAAAAGCCCGUUAAAGUUAAUUUAACGUAAAAAUUCCAAUAGAACUGUAUUAGAUUUUCUCCAUUAAAUUAACGUUAUGGAUUUUUAACGGAUGUCUUAAUUAUACAUUAUUAUUAACGGGAAUACUGUAUUACACAGAUUAAAAUCGGGUCCCGAGUCAACUCACAAAAGCUUGCUGGGCGUGCUGAUGCCACCAGCCCCCGUGACCCAACGCGCUGCCUGCAGAGCCCUGCCUGCUCCAGCUGAGCGUUUCCUGGCAGAUGGAGCAACCUGCAGCAGACAAAUCCAUCUCUGCAUUUAGCAGUGAACUUUCCUGAGUCUCAAAGGCAAGAUAAGUCUGGAUCCAGUUGCAAACCGCUACUCCAUUGCAAAUGAAAUAUUCAAAGUACGCUAGGCACAAUUUGAGAAUUGGAUUUUCCUCAUGCAAGAGAGAGGGCUUGGGGGUGUCUUUUACUAUCAUAUUUUAGGCAUUCCAGGAUAAAAUUGAAGCGCAGCAUUCACAACGUCGGACUGAAUGUGUUUACUGUAUCCCCCCCUGCUUUUGCGCGUGGGCCUCUUUUGGAGAUGUUUGGGAAAUUUUGACAUGAUCCCUAAAUUCAACGUGGAGGAGAAAAAAAAGGCCCUUCUUAUUUACCUCCUAGGGAAAGAGUUGCCCUUAUGCCACAUAUAAUAGCAAAUUGCUUUUUUUAUGGCAUGCAUAACCUAGAUGGGAAAAAAUAUGGCGCUUGAGGGAAGGAGGGAAAAAGUAAAUGAAGUUCCAGGAAUGUCAUUCUGAAGUAAUGAGGCAUGGACAGAAAAUAUACCCCUCACAUCAUCGGAUUGAGAUGGCAGUCGAAAUAGCUUCAUUGAAGUGUCAGCACUCAUCCAUCAAUCAAUCAUCCACAAGGAAAAAUAGCGACAGUACAACGGGGCGGCUUUUAUGGGAUUUACUCAUGGGCAUAGGGAAUAGCAGCUCAAAUGUAGUUCUGACAUGAAAAGCAAGGUGCUGAUAUUAUUUUUUAUGAUGGGAGGAUCAUAAAGUGAAUUGAGAACAGUGAGGUCUGUCUUUGCUUAACCUAUUCAACUGGAAAUGAACGGAGCUCAACUGGAAACGAGCAGAGCCUUCAGAUGGGUUAAGAUUGAAGCCCGCGCCGUGCUGAGUGCCGUCCAUUGACAACAAAAUUCUAUUAAAGCAAAAUCAAUGCAUUAGCAUCGAGCUCUGCAGAAGCUGUUAAAUUGCACAGCCCAGUUCAGAGUUAUUAAGUGAAGUUACACAAGGUGAGGGCCCGCAGCGCAGACCCAAAGGCAGCGCCGCAAUAAAAUGCC
This is a long non-coding RNA of Pavo cristatus (Indian peafowl), 2689 nucleotides long. The record is from Ensembl. NCBI's taxonomy places the organism in Eukaryota, Metazoa, Chordata, Aves, Galliformes, Phasianidae.